Long non-coding RNA from Olea europaea var. sylvestris, 220 nucleotides. RefSeq lists it as uncharacterized. NCBI's taxonomy places the organism in Eukaryota, Viridiplantae, Streptophyta, Magnoliopsida, Lamiales, Oleaceae. The record is from RefSeq and is a predicted model, not a curated record. The transcript is spliced from 2 exons.
CUUUCCCUUUCCUUUUCCUUGGUCGAAGUUUGAAAUUUUUUUGCUGCUAUUUGCUUGGGCACACUCAUACACGACCCUAAAAGUCUGAUUCAAUUCCCACAAAACAACAAUUUUACCCACAAAGCUGUAAUCUUUUUAGCUUUCUUCUACUUUUUCUCAUCCCUUUUAUAAUCAGGUAGAUCUCUGUUUGUACGGCGAAGCUUUUUGGGCUAUUCUUUCA